AUUGAACGCUGGCGGAAUGCUUUACACAUGCAAGUCGAACGGCAGCAUAGGUGCUUGCACCUGAUGGCGAGUGGCGAACGGGUGAGUAAUACAUCGGAACGUGCCCAGUCGUGGGGGAUAACGUAGCGAAAGUUACGCUAAUACCGCAUACGAUCUAAGGAUGAAAGCGGGGGACCGUCAGGCCUCGCGCGAUUGGAGCGGCCGAUGUCAGAUUAGGUAGUUGGUGAGGUAAAGGCUCACCAAGCCGACGAUCUGUAGCUGGUCUGAGAGGACGACCAGCCACACUGGGACUGAGACACGGCCCAGACUCCUACGGGAGGCAGCAGUGGGGAAUUUUGGACAAUGGACGCAAGUCUGAUCCAGCCAUUCCGCGUGCAGGACGAAGGCCUUCGGGUUGUAAACUGCUUUUGUACGGAACGAAAAAGCUCUUACUAAUACUAGGAGUCCAUGACGGUACCGUAAGAAUAAGCACCGGCUAAUUACGUGCCAGCAGCCGCCGUAA
Molecule: ribosomal RNA, 502 nt
Filed under: uncultured bacterium
Lineage: Bacteria
Description: partial 16S ribosomal RNA
Rfam family: Bacterial small subunit ribosomal RNA
Source: RNAcentral